ACCGCCAAGGCGUACAUAAUACCCGAUUCGGCGGAUUCAGUUGACUAAUAUACCAAAGGACGUAGUGUCGUGUUUGCGUAGUUUUUCGUUUAUGCUAUUAAAUCGCGACGAAUAUUAAUUAAUUGGCACCAGAUUAAUGUUAAAGUAAAAGUGGCAAUUAUUACAAAAUAUAAUAUGGUGACAACAAUAUUACGAGGACCACAAUCGUUUAAAAACUUAUGCGGCGAUGAAUAUAAAAUCACUGCAAAUCAAGGUACUUACCAAUAACUGCAGUCACGAGUCAAACCAUAUAUAUUACCAUAUAAAGCUACUGCAGAAAUCGUCACGGUUGAUCCGCGCGCAAUAUUGUCGGACUCAGUAGCGAUUUUGACAAAACUUCUACAAAUAAGACAUGACAAAAAAAAUAUUCGAAAAACAUUGUUUUCAUAUUAUCCUGUUGUCCAACAUAUUACCGUCUAAGCGUAUUUAUGUUUUAUUCUUUUCACCGUCUUUCAAGAUUUUUAUAACAUUUACUUGCUGUUAAUAUAAUAUAGCCAAGAAUUAUUAUUUUUCAUUAUUUAAAUAUUAAACGGAAUUAAUCUUACCCAUCA
Molecule: long non-coding RNA, 590 nt
Organism: Rhopalosiphum padi (bird cherry-oat aphid)
Lineage: Eukaryota; Metazoa; Arthropoda; Insecta; Hemiptera; Aphididae
Exons: 2
Source: RefSeq, a predicted model, not a curated record